GACGAACGCUGGCGGCGUGCUUAACACAUGCAAGUCGAACGGAAAGGCCCUGCUUUUGUGGGGUGCUCGAGUGGCGAACGGGGGAGUAACACGUGAGUAACCUGCCCUUGACUUUGGGAUAACUUCAGGAAACUGGGGCUAAUACCGGAUAGGAGCUCCUGCUGCAUGGUGGGGGGUGGAAAGUUUCGGCGGUUGGGGAUGGACUCGCGGCUUAUCAGCUUGUUGGUGGGGUAGUGGCUUACCAAGGCGUUGACGGGUAGCCGGCCUGAGAGGGUGACCGGCCACAUUGGGACUGAGAUACGGCCCAGACUCCUACGGGGGGCAGCAGUGGAGAAUAUUGCACAAUGGGCGGAAGCCUGAUGCAGAAACGCCGCGUGCGGGAUGACUGCCUUCGGGUUGUAAACCGCUUUCGCCUGUGACGAAGCGUGAGUGACGGUAAUGGGUAAAGAAGCACCGGCUAACUACGUG
This 468-nucleotide ribosomal RNA is filed under the name uncultured bacterium. Its description in RNAcentral is "partial 16S ribosomal RNA". It matches the Rfam family "Bacterial small subunit ribosomal RNA", at positions 28 to 507 of the family's 1533-position model. The record is from RNAcentral.